CGGCUGAUGCUGGUGGAAUCUGCUUCAGCAAAUUCUUCAGUUCACUCGAAUGAAGCUGUUACUCCACCCGCCGCCAUCCAUCUUCGUUGCUCCUGACUUUCCACGUCCCUCGUGGACGUGAGCGGACAACUGAAAUGUCGGAGUUACCCAGAGAGCCCAUUCCCUUCCAGCGGAGGGAGAUCAAGGGGAUCCUCUCACAUGGAAAGAGUUCUUUGGGCUAUCUGUUUGGCACGAUUUCCCUCCCACGUUUUGGUGCCUUUGGUGGUGAUUUCCCCAAGCACAGGGCUGGGGCUCUUUGUCGCUCCCAGGCCCAAGAAGUCUGGGAUGUGUCCCCCGGAGAGAAUCCUUGGAUGAGAGAAGCGUCAUUCAGGCACGAGUGACAGCACUGUAGGCAGUGCGUUCAGCACAUUCAGAAGAAGGAAGAACAAAUCCUCCAAUCGGAAUGAAGGGUUGCUCCGGAAAUGGUGUGACCAGAGUCUUGCAAGCAGCUAACCCUGGCUUUCCCUUAGGAGAGAUGGGUCAGUAUCGGCUAAUUCAGUGUUUAUAGUCACCUUAUAGGACAUAGCUGCCACAAAUGAUGAGAAUCGACUAGACAACCCCAGAUGGGGCCUCCGGAUGGUGCAGUGGAGAGCUCCAGGUCUGGAGUCUGGCAGACUCAUCACCCUGACUUUAAAUCCAGCCUCAGAUACUUACUAGUUGUGAGAGCCUGAAAAAGUCAUUUAACCCAGUUUGCCUUAGUUUCCCCUCAUCUGUAAAAUGCACUGGAGAAGGAAAUGGCAAACCCCUCCAGUAUCUUUGUCAAGAAGACCCCAACCUUUGAUUGACUGCAGGACUCUUCAAGAUUGUUUCAGGUACUGGAGGAUCCCCAUGACCCAGGAGUCUGAACCAUGGCAGCCUUGGAGAUUGGAAUUUGGGCCAGAUGGUGUAGUGAGGCAGUCUGACAUGGAGGCCUGAGAAGCCAGGUGCCCAAGACUCAAGCUUGAGGGGAAUUUUGGAAUUGAAACCAGGACUGCACUGUAUGGGAAUUGAGCUAAACUAUGAACUUAAUCUCUUUCUCCUCCCCAGAGAUCAAGAUGGUGCAAGAGGAAAGGAGAAUUAUGGCUCCCAUGUAUUGGGAUAAUGAAUUUGUAUAUUUUGAUUAUACCUUUUGAAGAAAAUAUUUCUGUGUAAAAGCCAAUGUGACUAUUUAAUUGUUUGAUUGAACUGAAGAACUUCUUGCCAUUGGGAGAAUACCAUUGGUAGAGGCUAGAGCUAUUGGUAGAGAGACUAGAGAUCCUCUAAUUCCCUUAUAGGUAUUCCAGAAAACCCUGGGGGAAAUGACAAAAUCUAACAUCCCUAGUCUUCAAGCAUUAAGGGCCAGGGUGGUCUAUAUCAUACAAUCAUAAUUGAGAGGCAGUGUAGCAUAACAGCUAGAAAGUUAGCCUUUGAAUCAAGACACCUUGAUUUUGAGUCCCAUCUCUGGCACAUACUGGCUGUGUGACCCUGGUAAGAUGUUUGCCCUCUCAGUGUCCCUGGAAAAUCUUUUACACUAGAAAUUACAGAACAGUUGCCAACCAGUAGGCAGCAUUGCAGGGGGUUUCCAUCUCUGGGUUUGCUUAAACUGAUGAAACCACAGGUCUAGAUCUCCUCUCCCCAUAAUUGCGCUCAAUGUGUAUGCUAUUGUUUAUAACUUUCCAUUAUUCCUUGCAUUCCUUAUACUCUUCAGAAGUCUUCUGUUAUCUUUAUUAUGUUCUUUGCUAGGCAAUUUUCGUAUUUCUUCUUAUAGCUUACAGGAUUUUUUCCUUAUUAUUGUAAUGUUGUAGUUUACCUUUCAAUUUAACAAGGAUUUAUUAAAUAUCUUUUUGGACACUUUGUGCAAGGCACCAUUGUGCUAUACCCUGAGGAUACAAAGACAAAAUGAAAAACAGAUCCUAUUAGAGGUAGGAAUGAUGUCAAUUUCCUAAUAGGUAUGACUGUCAAAUGAUAUGAACAGUUUUUGAAAGAAGAGCAAAGUAAUCACAAUCACAUGAAAGGUUGCUCAAAAUCAUAUAUAUUAAGAACAAUGCAAGUCAAGACAGUGUUGAGGUUUUAUCUCAUGUCCUUCAAAUUGGCAAAAAUGACCAAAAUGGCAAUACUCAGUGUUAGAGAUAGAUAAUUAGAAUGUAGAAUGAUAAAUGCACUAGUGAAUUGUUGUUGGAGCUGUAAAAUGGUUUUAUGCAAAUAACACAAGUAGGAUGCUCAUGCCCUUUGAACUUGAGAUUCCAUUACCAGGCUUGCACCUAAAGGAAGCUACUGAUGGAAAAGGGAUCCCUUUAUACAGAAAACAAGGUGGCCCAGAAAGGAAAGGAGACUUAUCCAAGGUCACUAAGGCAGUAAGGUACAGAGGCUAGAUUCUAACUGAUAUGCUGUGGCUACAAAUAUCUCAUCUAUCCUAUGCUGCCUAAUAGGCACAACCAAUUCCAACCCCAAGAAAUCCCACAGAUGGGCAGCCACAGUCCCCACACUCAUGCCCAGAGAGGGCUCCCUCUGAGCAGGUCAGUCAGCUACCCCUGGAACCUUAGAGUCCCAGCAGCAACAGCAGAGGGAUAGUUAAGCUGCUAAGGACUUAGCCCAGGAACAGAGAGUUGAAUAAUGGGACAUUCAGGUGAACUCUCCCCAAUCCCUAAUGUUCAGUGCUCACUGAGCCAGCACCCUGUAUAUGUAUUGUUUUCCUUGAUAGAAUGUAAGCUCCUUGAGGGCAUAAGAUUAUUUAAUUAUAGCCUGAGUGUCUAGGAGAGUGCCUGGCACACAGUGCUUGAUAAAUUGUUGUUGAUUAACAAUAAAUGUUAAUUUUAAAAA
Long non-coding RNA from Monodelphis domestica (gray short-tailed opossum), 2817 nucleotides. RefSeq lists it as uncharacterized. Lineage: Eukaryota; Metazoa; Chordata; Mammalia; Didelphimorphia; Didelphidae. The record is from RefSeq and is a predicted model, not a curated record.